This is a long non-coding RNA of Sapajus apella (tufted capuchin), 1154 nucleotides long. RefSeq lists it as uncharacterized. Lineage: Eukaryota; Metazoa; Chordata; Mammalia; Primates; Cebidae. The transcript is spliced from 4 exons. The record is from RefSeq and is a predicted model, not a curated record.
GGGUUUGGAUGCCCUGCUGGCUUGCUCUUUGCAACGGUAAUUGCUACUGGCCUCAGAAUUCUCUGAACACACCUACUUUGUACUUCUCGAUUUCCUUCCUCCUCCACUGCCGCAUAAGAAGACUCCAAUCUUUCAUUUAUUGACUCAUUUACCACUUAUUUACUGAGCACCUACUAUGUGCCCUUAAGCACAGGGGAGUGCAGCAGUAAAGAAAAAAAAAAAAGAGGAAAAUUUCUGCUCUCUUGAAAUUUAUAUUCUAGUAAGAGAAACAACAAUAAACAGAAUCCUCAAAAUGCAUAAAAAGGCAGAUAGCAAAAGUGCUUUGGAAAAAUAAAAAGCAAGAAAAGCAAGAAAGAGGAAUAUGAAGCGUGGGUGUGGAAUGCUUUACAGCAUGGCCGGGUGACUCUGGAGACCCGAAGAAGGCGAGGGGAUGAGCCAUGCUUGGAGGUGUCAGUAGAGGAACAGUUAUGCACAGGCCACAAAGCCAAAGCAUGUUGGCGGGGCCUGUUCCAGGAACAGCAAAGAGGCUGGGGAAGAGGGGAGAGAAUGGGACCGUGAGAGGGCGUUGAACUGCAGUGCGGAGGAGAGCUGAAGUGCGGGGCAGAAGUAGGGAGACCUGAUAAUUGACUCUUGGAGUCAAGCAGACCCAGACGUGAUUCCCAGGAGGAAACCUACAGUCAGAAAGACCUCUCUGGUGGAAGGUGGAUAGGAGAGGUGGUGAGAAGUUCAGGGGCUCUAGUCCACAAUGAGACGACAAGGGCCUGAGCCAGGAGCGCUGCUACAUGAAUGGAAAACUGGUGAAGUCAGAGGACUCAAAAAGAUGAAAGGUCACACCUCUGUCAAGAGACACUCUCCUUUUCUGGUCAAGUCUCUUUUCUUCUGUUAGGGCUGCAACCUCUUCACCUGGGAAAUGAAUGGUCCUGUGAUUUACAAGCACAGGGCAUUUCCAUCAUCAUGGAAAGUUCUAUGGGACUGCUGUGGUUUGAACACAAGAGCAGGAGUUUAUACUUACUCUGAGGCACUGUAUCUUGAGAGUUCUAGCUCAGCUUCCAAGGCUGCUGAGAGCUUUAAGAAACUGGUUCUGAGGCUGGGUGCGGUGGUUCAUGCCUGUAAUCCCAUCACUGAGGGAGGCUGAGGCAGGCGGAUCACCUGAG